UUUCCCAUGUAGUUUCCCUCUGUGGUGUAAAUGUUGACUAUUUCUAAACUAUAUAUCCAUUUGUUUGCCUCUUAUGACUGACUUCAUGUCUACUCGAAAUGUAUAAUUUGCUUACGAGAUUUCUUGUAUGAUCUUGGCCUCUUUAAGCAGGCCUCAAGAUUAGGUCUGUUUCAAAUUUUACACUUGCCUAAGCUUUUGCUUGCCUACUAAGAUUAGUAGUUUUACCUUGUGGGAUCAUGUUGUUUCAUUUGUUUAUUUUUAAGCCGUGAAGAUUCACUCUUUCUAAAGGUUUAGCUUUCUUCGUAUAAUCAGAACAGAUUGGUAUUCGAUCGGGUCCAUUCUUUUACUUCUUGAAGAUGAAUGCACCUGCUUGUAUUCAUAGUUAGUUGUCUGAUAUGCUAUUUGGUAACUAGUGUCUUAAUUUUAUUUUAUUCUGGUUGAGAUUUCCUCUCAUUUAGCGCCAAUAGACAUUUGGUUUGAAUGCUUAGGUCUUGUGAGAGCAUUAAUGUUAUGGUAUUACUAUAUUGUUGUUCCCUUAUGCGUUUUAAACACAAUGACAUCUCUCGUUGAGAAAUAGGAUUAAAGCAUUGGUCCUUAUCAAGUUUCGUUCUUAAUUUUAUUAAGGAAUAUCUAAAUUUCAUUUACCAAGUUUAGUAGCUUCAAAUUUGCUGCUCUAUUAUAAUGAGUUUGAAAUCUUUGGACAACUGCCUCAUGUCUUUUUUUUCAAAAAUAAAAUAAAAUUUUUAUACGAGAAGUGUAAAUCUAUGUAGUGUUUAAUAUGUGGCUAUUUGUUAGCAUGUGAUCAUUACGUGUCUCUUUAAAAUUUUGAUUUAGUUUCAUUAUCAAUCUUAACAAGAUAUCUAUAUGUUAUUCAAUAUAUGUUAGUUAUUAACAUUUUAAUUAUUCUUACCUUCUAUUUAAUGCUAAAUCUGUCCAGUUUCGAUUAAUUACUUCUCUUUCUUUUCUCUUUUCAUGAAAACUCUAUCCGAGUCCCUUUUGGGGGCCCACGGUUCCCUCGCAUUUUCUCGUUGGGCCAUGGAGGCCUAACAAUCCCUCAUCGAGUCAACCGGCCAUUGAAAAUUGACGUACAGAUCCCAAAGUUGAAAGGCGCAACAAAUCGAGAAACUGAAAAGAUUGGGCCAAAGGCUCACUCCUAAUUCAAAAUUUGUAUUUUUGGGCCUAAGCCCACUUAUUUAUUAUUAUUUGUUAGUUCUCAGGACAGGUGAAGGAACUGGGCCUAAGGCCCAAAAUAAAGAUAUCUAUUUUUGUUAGAUUAGGACAGGUACCAUUGAUUUAAAUAGGCCAAAGGUCCAGAACAAAAAUGGGCCCAAAUACUGGUCCAGGCGGACAGAAACCAAAUUUGGGCCCAACCCUCUUUCCCUCCUUACUUUACUGUGUUUGUUUUGUUUGUUAAUAUUUGUCGUUAAUCUUAGGGUCGAAAAGUUCAAAUCCCCGAGAGACGCUCAUUUCGUUUUAACAAUGUAACUAAAUCGAUCAUCUUUUCAAAAGACUUAAAAGAGUAAAUUUUGAGAAGCAUCUCACUUAGAGCAUAG
RNAcentral lists this long non-coding RNA (1553 nucleotides) under Solanum tuberosum (potato). RNAcentral's name for it is "long non-coding RNA (STUB_LNC010572)". Lineage: Eukaryota; Viridiplantae; Streptophyta; Magnoliopsida; Solanales; Solanaceae. The record is from RNAcentral.